Dalotia coriaria is the source of this 752-nucleotide long non-coding RNA. RefSeq lists it as uncharacterized. The record is from RefSeq and is a predicted model, not a curated record. NCBI's taxonomy places the organism in Eukaryota, Metazoa, Arthropoda, Insecta, Coleoptera, Staphylinidae. The transcript is spliced from 2 exons.
AAACAAAAGAUAAUAUAACAAAAUCAAAACAUCUUUGGAUAUUGUACAAAUGCGUAUUUAUAAGUUUAUCAAUAUAUCCAUGUAAUUGUUUUGUUUUUCUUUAUAUUUGUUUAUGCGAAAUAACUUUGAAGGAUAAAAUCUUAAGCUCGUCAGUUUUUCGAAACUCCUCGACCUGACAACAACAAUAAACCUGCUCCAGCAACAUGGCGGGUAACGCGCGGCCCUCCAAUGUUGGUGGAUUGCCAUAAUAUCAAGUCAAUCGUAUCCUACCCCGGGAAAAGCGGACUUCUUAAGAUGGCCGAGUAUUUACACGUUUUCUACAAUUUAUAUUUCUUUUUUCAUUUGCAUAAUGUUUAAUAGUGCGUUUAUAAAGAUGACUGGAUUGUUUUUUUAAUAUAGCUUUGGUGUUGUGCCUUAGCAACAAAAAAAAAGAUAUUGGAGUAAUGUUAAUUUCGUUAUGGCGGCCAUCCUCUCGCCAAAUGGUCGCCAUCUAGCUUAAGACGCGUCAACAAUUAAGUAUUUGGCCGAUAACUUAAUUCAACUGACUAAAGAAAAACUGAUAGAAAUGUUCACACUUAGUAGUACAUCAUUUGUGUUAAAAGAGACCUUGUUAAUUAUAAUUAUCAUCGUAAUAAUCGAUAUAUAACUUGUUUAUUGGCAUAUGUUAAGAUUGCUUCUUUGCAAAAUUAGGAUUAAUUUGUUAUACGAUUGUAUUUGUUGAAGGGUUAUAUAAUAAAGGAAGAAAAAGCAAA